RNAcentral lists this ribosomal RNA (551 nucleotides) under uncultured Glomeromycotina. RNAcentral's name for it is "SSU rRNA". It matches the Rfam family "Eukaryotic small subunit ribosomal RNA", at positions 548 to 1098 of the family's 1831-position model. Lineage: Eukaryota; Fungi; Glomeromycota. The record is from RNAcentral.
UUGGAGGGCAAGUCUGGUGCCAGCAGCCGCGGUAAUUCCAGCUCCAAUAGCGUAUAUUAAAGUUGUUGCAGUUGAAAAGCUCGUAGUUGAACUUCGGGGUCUACCCAUUGGUCAGGCUUAAUUGUCUGCACUGGUGAGAUGGAUCUCUACCUUCUGAGGAACUUUCAUGCCAUUUAUUUGGUGUGAUGGGAAAUCAGGACUGUUACUUUGAAAAAAUUAGAGUGUUUAAAGCAGACUAUCGUCUGAAUACAUUAGCAUGGAAUAAUGAAAUAGGACGGACUGAUUCUAUUUCGUUGGUUUCUAGAAUCACCGUAAUGAUUAAUAGGGAUAGUUGGGGGCAUUAGUAUUCAAUUGUCAGAGGUGAAAUUCUUGGAUUUAUUGAAGACUAACUACUGCGAAAGCAUUUGCCAAGGAUGUUUUCAUUAAUCAAGAACGAAAGUUAGGGGAUCGAAGACGAUCAGAUACCGUCGUAGUCUUAACCAUAAACUAUGCCGACUAGGGAUCGGACGAAGUUAAUUUUAUAAUGACGCGUUCGGCGCCUUACGGGAAAC